This 413-nucleotide long non-coding RNA is filed under the name Mytilus galloprovincialis (Mediterranean mussel). The record is from RNAcentral. Lineage: Eukaryota; Metazoa; Mollusca; Bivalvia; Mytilida; Mytilidae.
CAAAUUUCGGACCUUGUCGGUGAAAUAAAAGACAUGAAUGGAUUAUAGGGGUAGUUGUAUUUAAACUCGCAAAACAUUGUUUUCCUAUUUGUUUCUAUUUUAGACAAAAGUCUAUUGAAGAGAACGAAUGACUUUAUAUUUAUACAGGAACAUAUUUGAAAAGAAAGUACAUUGUUAUUGAUGAAUCCUGAAGCUAAAGGGGGAAAAAAAGGAAGAUUGUCCGUUGAAAUUAUUCAAACUAAUACAACUUGCUUAAACUACAUUAAUAUAUAUUUUAUUCUUAUUCUAUAGUAAAGCUGGUCGUAAACUGCUUUAUUUAUAAAAUGAAAGUAUUAGUAUUGCUUCCCCAUAAACCAUAUGUAAUUUAAAGAGUUCGUCGAUUGGAAUGUUUUAAUUACAUGAACGUGUGCCGG